Molecule: small nucleolar RNA, 70 nt
Filed under: Leptobrachium leishanense (Leishan spiny toad)
Lineage: Eukaryota; Metazoa; Chordata; Amphibia; Anura; Megophryidae
Description: Small nucleolar RNA SNORD18 (ENSLLEG00000008177.1)
Rfam family: Small nucleolar RNA SNORD18
About the family: U18 is a member of the C/D class of snoRNA which contain the C (UGAUGA) and D (CUGA) box motifs. It is encoded in introns of ribosomal protein L1 in Xenopus and human, and in introns of elongation factor 1 beta in yeast.
Source: Rfam by way of RNAcentral
ACUUCAUGAUGAUUUUCCACUUCUGGUCCGUGUUUUUGAAACACUUGAUAACAAUGGAAGUUCUGAUAUA